This 348-nucleotide unclassified non-coding RNA is filed under the name soil metagenome. RNAcentral's name for it is "partial contains 5.8S ribosomal RNA, internal transcribed spacer 2, and large subunit ribosomal RNA". The stretch from base 1 to 120 matches the Rfam family "5.8S ribosomal RNA", at positions 35 to 154 of the family's 154-position model. The record is from RNAcentral.
GAUGAAGAACGCAGCGAAAUGCGAUAAGUAAUGUGAAUUGCAGAAUUCAGUGAAUCAUCGAAUCUUUGAACGCACAUUGCGCCCGCCAGUAUUCUGGCGGACAUGCCUGUCUGAGCGUCAUUUCAACCCUCAUGCCCCUAGGGCGUGGUGUUGGGGAUCGGCCAAAGCCCGCGAGGGACGGCCGGCCCCUAAAUCUAGUGGCGGACCCGUCGUGGCCUCCUCUGCGAAGUAGUGAUAUUCCGCAUCGGAGAGCGAUGAGCCCCUGCCGUUAAACCCCCAACUUUCCAAGGUUGACCUCAGAUCAGGUAGGAAUACCCGCUGAACUUAAGCAUAUCAAUAAGCGGAGGA